UGUAAGCGUAUACCAAAGGUGUUGCAGUUAAAACGCUCGUAGUCGGAAUUUGGCAGUUCCGGAUGUGUGCACGUCGUGUGCGCACUUCGCGGGGAUUGCUUUUGUGGUCUUGCGUAGGAUGAGGCACUUUUAUUAGUGAACGUCCUCACGCAACCACUUUUUACUGUGAGAAAAUCAGAGUGCUCAAAGCAGGCAUUUGCCGUGAAUGUAUUAGCAUGGAAUAAUAGAAUAGGACUUGGUUCUAUUUUGUUGGUUUGUUGGGACUGAGUAAUGAUUAAGAGGGACAGUUGGGGGCAUUUGUAUUUCGGUGCUAGAGGUGAAAUUCUUAGAUUACCGAAAGACAAACUGCUGCGAAAGCGUCUGCCAAGGAUGUUUUCAUUGA
RNAcentral lists this ribosomal RNA (382 nucleotides) under uncultured eukaryote. Its description in RNAcentral is "partial 18S ribosomal RNA". It matches the Rfam family "Eukaryotic small subunit ribosomal RNA", at positions 592 to 976 of the family's 1831-position model. The record is from RNAcentral.